Molecule: long non-coding RNA, 1038 nt
Filed under: Cairina moschata (Muscovy duck)
Lineage: Eukaryota; Metazoa; Chordata; Aves; Anseriformes; Anatidae
Description: domestica (muscovy Duck (domestic type)) lncRNA (ENSCMMG00000000452.1)
Source: RNAcentral
AUGUUACAAGUACAACCCCCAUGUCUUCUGCUGUUACAGGACGCGAUUACCAGAAGCGGAGGCAGGAUCAGCUCCUUGCCCACACUCUGGAACUGGAGAGCACUGCAAGGCUACCUUCUGGGUCCCCAUGACUGCUGUUUGCAGAAUUUCUGGGCAAGAAAAACAUCAUAUCAGUUCAUAGACCCAUCCAACACGGGUGCCCCACCACUAGGCAUGCUCCAAUGGAAGGCAAGUGUUAAGAGCGGCUGUUAGCUGGUCUUCCCCCUAGGAGCUGCCCUGGUCACUAUGGUACAAAAUCCCAACCACACAGUGGAGGUCACUGGAUCCUGGUUCUUUUUCUGGAUCAUCAUGAGUCAAAAGAGUGACUUAUGAAAAAAAAUAAACACAAACUGGCCAGGGAACUUCAUUUUUUUUUUUUCAACUAAUGGGGCAAACUUGCCUGAUCCUGUGUAUGAUGGUGAAAAUAAAUCUCAAAUGUAUCUACUGGAAAAUGUUCACACAAUAAACAUGGACAACAACCAGCUGUCAUAACAAUUCUUUAUUGACAAGUGAUGAAAGUUAAAGAACUGAACUUCUGUCUGUGAUUAGCACUGGAAGAGACUAAUGAAAAAGACUAGACAGAACUGUCAGUCAUUUGGUGGAGGAGAAACAUGACUAAAGCCUAUGAAAAGCAAAUUCUAACCUGUACAUAAAAAGGAGAAGAUAAAUCUUUAAAUGGAAUAAGAAGAUACUAAUUUUAAGGAAAGAGUAAAGCCAGACCAUUUUGUUUAUGUGAAAGAGUAAAAUCAGACCAUUGUUUAUGUGAAAAAGAGUAAAACCAGAAAUUUUUUUUUAAGUGAAAAGCAGGUUCAAAGUUGUUCUAAGCCAAUGACGACAGCCCUGCCUUCCUCUUAAGUAUGAAGAAAUCAUAAAUGAAGCUGUGGAACAUAUUAUUCUUUCUAUUUAUUAAACAUUGCUGACAAGAAACUGCUUGCAUGUAGAGACAGUAUUUGCAUCUUCUCAUAGCUUACUGCUUUCAAAGGAGAACAUGAAAUGCUG